UGGGGAAUAUUGCACAAUGGAGGGAACUCUGAUGCAGCGACGCCGCGUGAGUGAUGAAGGAAUUCGUUUCGUAAAACUCUGUUCUAUGGGAAGAAAAGGACUGUACCAUAGGAGAAAGCUCCGGCUAAAUACGUGCCAGCAGCCGCGGUAAUACGUAUGGAGCGAGCGUUGUCCGGAAUUAUUGGGCGUAAAGGGUGCGCAGGCGGCUUUACAAGUUGGAUGUGAAAUAUUGUGGCUCAACCACAAACGUGCAUCCAAAACUGCAAAGCUUGAGUUAAGGAGAGGUAAGUGGAAUUCCUGGUGUAGCGGUGGAAUGCGUAGAUAUCAGGAGGAAUACCGGUGGCGAAGGCGACUUACUGGACUUCAACUGACGCUCAGGCACGAAAGCGUGGGGAGCAAACAGG
RNAcentral lists this ribosomal RNA (404 nucleotides) under Fusobacteriota bacterium. RNAcentral describes it as "Fusobacteria bacterium partial 16S ribosomal RNA". It matches the Rfam family "Bacterial small subunit ribosomal RNA", at positions 355 to 776 of the family's 1533-position model. Lineage: Bacteria; Fusobacteriati; Fusobacteriota. The record is from RNAcentral.